AGCGUAGGCGGCUUGAUAAGUCAAAGGUGAAAUCCCUCGGCUCAACUGAGGAACUGCCUUUGAAACUGUCUGGCUUGAGGCCGGGAGGGGGUAGCGGAAUUCCCAGUGUAGCGGUGAAAUGCGUAGAUACUGGGAGGAACACCGGUGGCGAAGGCGGCUACCUGGACCGGUUCUGACGCUGAUGCGCGAAAGCGUGGGUAGCAAACA
RNAcentral lists this ribosomal RNA (207 nucleotides) under uncultured bacterium. RNAcentral describes it as "partial 16S ribosomal RNA". It matches the Rfam family "Bacterial small subunit ribosomal RNA", at positions 568 to 774 of the family's 1533-position model. The record is from RNAcentral.